Pleuronectes platessa (European plaice) is the source of this 550-nucleotide long non-coding RNA. RefSeq lists it as uncharacterized. Lineage: Eukaryota; Metazoa; Chordata; Actinopteri; Pleuronectiformes; Pleuronectidae. The record is from RefSeq and is a predicted model, not a curated record. The transcript has 3 exons.
ACGGCAGCAGAGCUUUAGAUGCCUGGUUAGCUCAGGCUACGGCUAACCGGCUACUGGCGACAUGCUUAGCGCCGGUGCUAACGGCUAGCGCUGCCCAGCCAGAGGGUCGCGAUCUUUACCAUGAACUAGAGUGGAGAGACCUGAUGUGGACUGUUAUCAACAGCUCUGUGGGAGAUUAUCACCUUGAAUAUUACAGAUGAGAUGAAGCACUGCAGCACCUGAUGUCCUCAGCAGCAAUAUAGUUGGGAUCGGCAGCUUCAGGCUGGUCAACAUGAGGAUGACUGCACCAGUUUUCAUCUACACUUCAUGUUUUCCUCCAUUAACUAAAGUUGGCCUGCAACUGUUUAGAACUGGCUGAGUGUCAUAGAUAACAGAGUUAAUUUCUGUAUUAAUUAUGGUUGGUUAAAUAAAUGAACACUUAUUAGAACAAUGUUUAUCUUUUGCUUUCUGAUUUAAUACACUUUAGAUAAGAACCCAGCGUACAAAGUUUGUAUCCUUAUUUUCUGUGGAUAUUUUACUAUGUAUUUGAAUAUGCUUUUGGAUUAAACUG